AUACGUAGGGUGCAAGCGUUAAUCGGAAUUACUGGGCGUAAAGCGUGCGCAGGCGGUUUUGUAAGACAGAGGUGAAAUCCCCGGGCUCAACCUGGGAACUGCAAUUGUGACUGCAAGGCUGGAGUGCGGCAGAGGGGGAUGGAAUUCCGCGUGUAGCGGUGAAAUGCGUAGAUAUGCGGAGGAACACCGAUGGAGAAGGCAAUCCCCUGGGCCUGCACUGACGCUCAUGCACGAAAGCGUGGGGAGCAAACAGGAUUAGAUACCCUGGUAGUCCACGCCCUAAACGAUGUCAACUGGUUGUUGGGGAUUUAUUUUCUCAGUAACGAAGCUAACGCGUGAAGUUGACCGCCUGGGGAGUACGGCCGCAAGGUUAAAACUCAAAUGAAUUGGCGGGG
This 395-nucleotide ribosomal RNA is filed under the name uncultured bacterium. RNAcentral's name for it is "partial 16S ribosomal RNA". It matches the Rfam family "Bacterial small subunit ribosomal RNA", at positions 523 to 918 of the family's 1533-position model. The record is from RNAcentral.